CUCUUUCUCUCUCACUCUGCUCCUCUCUUGUGCCCUCUGUCUCUUUCUCCCUCCCUCUCUCUGUCUUUCUCUCUCCCUCUCUCUCUCAAAAAAAAUGAAUCGCAAGUGGAUCUACCCACAUAAUUAGCCUGAAGUAAUUUUUAAUCAUUGUAUCAUUUGUUCUACUUUAUAUUGUUACGUUUAGUAUAUUUAAAAGUAGUUUGGCUUGUAAAUGGAAUGUAAACACUUAAGAUGAGCUCAGACAGACAUGUAUUAUAAUUCCUGCUUUGACACUUAUUCGUUGGCUAUUUUAGCCAAGUCAUCUACCCUCACUGGGUUUCCCGUUUCAGUACAUUGUACAAGUCAGAAUAAUAAUACGAACCUUACUAUGAAAGGUAAAAAAAAGUCAUUUGAAAGUACCUAGCACAGGUCCCUGGACAUAUGGAAAGUUCUCACUGAAUGUGUAAGUGAGCUAUAAAAAUAGUGGAGAACAAAAAAAUAGGAUGUUUUUAUUGUGUAAAAAAAUGUAAUUUUUCCUCAUCAUAGAUAUUAAUUUCCUAAUCAUAGAUAUUAAUCCUACUAUUUUAGGUACUCAUAAUCAAUAUUGUAUGAAGUAACUUGAGAUUCUGUAGGAUACAAGCUUCCAUGGAAACUUUCAGCGUCUUAAUAACUUCAUAGUGUUGCAACUUAAAAUAUGAAACCACUUGGAGUGGAUGGAAAGUUCCCCUGAAAUCUAGUAUCUUUUUUUCAUUUAUGAAUUCAUUUGCUUUAAAUAAAAUGCCAAUUGUAUGCCUGGAAAGCUAUUUCUGCCCCCCUGUAUCUAUUUGAAGCAUGAUGUUCUUUAGAAACUUUUGAAUUUUAGUACCUUUUGCAGUUGAUAAUUUUCUUCGUGUCUCAAAAGCUCAUUUAAUUAUAGCUGUCAUGUAUUAUUAUUUAAAUAUUUCAUGCCUUUAUCCCGUCACUGUUAUCUAGGAGAUAUUUACUGAACACCCGAUUGUGCAGAGUACCCUGGAGGGAAGAGGAAGGUGAACUAGGAACCAUACCUACUCUCAUGGAUGUUAUUUGUGUGCGCUCAGUUUGGAACAUCUGCACCCGUUCUGUAAUCAGAGCAAAUGUUAGCCUAAAGAGGUCUGCUCACAGGGGAGGGAAAAUAAAGAGAACCGUGGAGAAGUACAGCUGGAGCCAUUGUAUUAUGCUAUCUCUGCAACCUGCCUUGUCUCUGGAUUUUUGUUCCCAUGAGCUUCAGGAAUUCUUUCCAUAUCAUCACUGCUCAGCUCUGUAUAAUGCCAGCUUUCUUGCUCGAUGACCCCUCAGCGAGGAACUUGAGGACUCUAUUUUGCCCACCGUGUUAUAUUCAAGCACAGGAUGGCUACUUGGACAUACUUGUUGGAUGAUUGAAUGAAUGAGGCAGCGGAGCUAUGAUUCAGAGCCGCUUCUGGGGGAUUCCAAAGCGUGUGCACCCAACCCUAUGAUACAGAGCAUCAAUUUAGAGCCUCUUGUCAGAAAGAGAAUGACUUGGUGCCGCACAUAGGAUCCAAGAUGGGCCUCAUCUUCUCCAGAGCAGCGUUCACCCACCUGGUUUUCCCAUGGAAUGUGACUUUGUCCUGUUAGGAACCAUGUUCUCUCGCACGGCACCUCUCAUUUUGACGUGGAUGGUUGUAGAAGCUUCCUUUGUGUAACUUUCAUCAUGAUGCUUGCUUUCCAUGACAUUCCAUGUCACGGAGCGCCGUUUCAGGGCAGAGGAACUCUCGUGGUCGUUCUGAGACCCUCCAGCCGUCAUUGGGGGGGUAGUGUCAUCCUGGGGAAAGGAUCCCCUGCCCACUGUGCUGUUUUCCAUCGUAAGCUCUUUGGAUUCUGUGAGCUGUGUAGGCUGGGUGUUGAUUUGAUGUUAAGGGUAGGUGAGCUCAAUAAAUAAAGGCGAUUUUCCA
This is a long non-coding RNA of Felis catus (domestic cat), 1907 nucleotides long. RefSeq lists it as uncharacterized. The transcript is spliced from 2 exons. Lineage: Eukaryota; Metazoa; Chordata; Mammalia; Carnivora; Felidae. The record is from RefSeq and is a predicted model, not a curated record.